CAGUCGCCGCGGUAAUACGGAGGGGACUAGCGUUGUUCGGAAUUACUGGGCGUAAAGCGUACGUAGGCGGUUUUGUAAGUUAGAGGUGAAAGCCCGGAGCUCAACUCCGGAAUUGCCUUUAAGACUGCAUCGCUUGAACGUCGGAGAGGUGAGUGGAAUUCCGAGUGUAGAGGUGAAAUUCGUAGAUAUUCGGAAGAACACCAGUGGCGAAGGCGGCUCACUGGACGACUGUUGACGCUGAGGUACGAAAGCGUGGGGAGCAAACAGGAUUAGAUACCCCUGUAGUCCCUGUCUCUUAUAC
Molecule: ribosomal RNA, 301 nt
Filed under: uncultured bacterium
Lineage: Bacteria
Description: partial 16S ribosomal RNA
Rfam family: Bacterial small subunit ribosomal RNA
Source: RNAcentral